This 567-nucleotide ribosomal RNA is filed under the name Burkholderia sp. CB29-2. Its description in RNAcentral is "bacterial SSU rRNA". It matches the Rfam family "Bacterial small subunit ribosomal RNA", at positions 87 to 650 of the family's 1533-position model. Lineage: Bacteria; Pseudomonadati; Pseudomonadota; Betaproteobacteria; Burkholderiales; Burkholderiaceae. The record is from RNAcentral.
GGUGGCGAGUGGCGAACGGGUGAGUAAUACAUCGGAACGUGUCCUGUAGUGGGGGAUAGCCCGGCGAAAGCCGGAUUAAUACCGCAUACGCUCUACGGAGGAAAGGGGGGGAUCUUAGGACCUCUCGCUACAGGGGCGGCCGAUGGCAGAUUAGCUAGUUGGUGGGGUAAAGGCCUACCAAGGCGACGAUCUGUAGCUGGUCUGAGAGGACGACCAGCCACACUGGGACUGAGACACGGCCCAGACUCCUACGGGAGGCAGCAGUGGGGAAUUUUGGACAAUGGGGGCAACCCUGAUCCAGCAAUGCCGCGUGUGUGAAGAAGGCCUUCGGGUUGUAAAGCACUUUUGUCCGGAAAGAAAACUUCGGGGUUAAUACCCCUGGAGGAUGACGGUACCGGAAGAAUAAGCACCGGCUAACUACGUGCCAGCAGCCGCGGUAAUACGUAGGGUGCGAGCGUUAAUCGGAAUUACUGGGCGUAAAGCGUGCGCAGGCGGUCCGCUAAGACCGAUGUGAAAUCCCCGGGCUUAACCUGGGAACUGCAUUGGUGACUGGCGGGCUAGAGUAUG